UCCCUCCCAGAGGGGGAGAAAGAGACGCAGGCGGCUUUUUCAAAAAGCUACGUCUGUUCGGAGAAACUCCGGCCAGUCUAAAUCAGCCAGGUUAUACUUUAAUUCUGGAAUAAGAUGGAAAACAGAUUAACAUUAAACAGAGAAAGUGAAAAGGACGGUGUGAGUACCAGACUACGUUAACUGCUGAAAAAGACAAAUUAGUUAUCUAGUUCACACGAGAAAGGGGUGUGUCCGAAUCCCGCAGUGAUUUGAGGGAAACUGAAGAAGCUUUCUGGCGUUAUGCAGAAAUGGUGUCUGCGCUCAGGUUGAAUACUGAAAGAAAAAAGUUGGACGGCAAGAGAUCGCAGUUUGUAGGAAGCACGGAUUAAAGCUGGAACUCGCAGUUGUGCUUUACGAUCCGCGGACAUAAGAAACCUGAAGACUGGCGUUAGCAGUGUCACAAGGUUGUGUUGUGCACAGGAUAAUGAAGUCAGCCUAAACCUAAACUAUGGCAUUGGUCAAGCAAAGCAUCGUCACAUGCCCGGUGUAUUCAGUAGCCUGAAGGUCCACUGUGGUGCAAGUAGUGAAGGAUGGCUGGCCAUUUAUCCCGGCCAAUACCCCCAAGCUGCCAG
Molecule: long non-coding RNA, 611 nt
Organism: Polypterus senegalus (gray bichir)
Lineage: Eukaryota; Metazoa; Chordata; Cladistia; Polypteriformes; Polypteridae
Exons: 3
Source: RefSeq, a predicted model, not a curated record